ACUCCUACGGGAGGCAGCAGUGGGGGAAUAUUGCACAAUGGGGGAAACCCUGAUGCAGCCAUGCCGCGUGUGUGAAGAAGGCCUUGGUUGUAAAGUCACUUCAGUAGGGAGGAAGGUAGUGUAGUUAACACCUGCAUUAUUUGACGUUACCUACAGAAGAAGCACCGGCUAACUCCGUGCCAGCAGCCGCGGUAAUACGGAGGGGUGCGAGCGUUAAUCGGAAUUACUGGGCGUAAAGCGCAUGCAGGCGGCCUGUUAAGUCAGAUGUGAAAGCCCGGGGGCUUAACCUCGGAAUUGCAUUUGAAACUGGCAGGCUAGAGUCUUGGUAGAGGGGGUUAGGAAUUUCAGGUGUAGCGGUGAAAUGCGUAGAGAUCUGAAGGAAUACCAGUGGCGAAGGCGGCCCCCGUGGACAAAGACUGACGCUCAGAUGCGAAA
RNAcentral lists this ribosomal RNA (435 nucleotides) under uncultured bacterium. RNAcentral describes it as "bacterial SSU rRNA". It matches the Rfam family "Bacterial small subunit ribosomal RNA", at positions 335 to 758 of the family's 1533-position model. The record is from RNAcentral.